RNAcentral lists this ribosomal RNA (253 nucleotides) under uncultured bacterium. RNAcentral describes it as "partial 16S ribosomal RNA". It matches the Rfam family "Bacterial small subunit ribosomal RNA", at positions 524 to 776 of the family's 1533-position model. The record is from RNAcentral.
UACGAGGGGGGCGAGCGUUGUUCGGAAUUAUUGGGCGUAAAGGGGGCGUAGGCGGUUUGGUAAGUCUGAUGUGAAAUCUAUGGGCUCAACUCAUAGUCUGCAUCGGAAACUGCCGGGCUUGAGUGUGGGAGAGGUGAGUGGAAUUCCUGGUGUAGCGGUGAAAUGCGUAGAUAUCAGGAGGAACACCUGUGGCGAGAGCGGCUCACUGGACCAUAACUGACGCUGAUGCACGAAAGCUAGGGGAGCAAACAGG